UUGAAAGGGAAACGAUUGAAGUCAGUCGUACCUGUGGGUAAUCAGCCUUUUGGGUGUGAUUUUGUGGAGUGUGAGGAGUUAAACGCCUUCAUGCCUGCAUAUUCGUGCACUUUGGGUGUAUUUACCCGUGUGGUAAGUUAACAUCAAUUUUGGUGGUCAUAAAAUGGCUGGAGGAAUGUAGCUUCGAUCUCGUAUUGAAGUGUUAUAGCCUUCGGUAGAUGUGAUUAUCGGGAUUGAGGAUUGCAACGGAUACCCUUCGGGGCUACCUGUCUGAUCUCUGAUCGUUGCUCUGGUGCCGAAAGCUUGCUUACGGUUAUCAAAGUCGAUGGUCAAUAGGUUAGAACGGGUUAAAUUCGUUAAGGAUGUUGACGUA
Molecule: ribosomal RNA, 373 nt
Filed under: uncultured Glomeromycotina
Lineage: Eukaryota; Fungi; Glomeromycota
Description: LSU rRNA
Source: RNAcentral